This 500-nucleotide ribosomal RNA is filed under the name uncultured delta proteobacterium. Its description in RNAcentral is "bacterial SSU rRNA". It matches the Rfam family "Bacterial small subunit ribosomal RNA", at positions 393 to 884 of the family's 1533-position model. The record is from RNAcentral. Lineage: Bacteria; Deltaproteobacteria.
GACGCCGCGUGUACGAUGAAGGCCCUUGGGUCGUAAAGUACUGUCAACUGAGACGAAAACCUGGAGGUGAAUAGCCUUUGGGCUUGACGGUAUCAGUGAAGGAAGCACCGGCUAACUCUGUGCCAGCAGCCGCGGUAGUACAGAGGGUGCAAACGUUGCUCGGAAUGACUGGGCGUAAAGCGCGCGUAGGCGGUGGGUUAAGUCGAAUGUGAAAGCCCAUGGCUCAACCAUGGAAGCGCAUUCGAAACUGGCUCACUGGAGUCCCGGAGAGGGUGGUGGAAUUCCUAGUGUAGAGGUGAAAUUCGUAGAGAUUAGGAGGAACACCGGUGGCGAAGGCGACCAUCUGGACGGGUACUGACGCUGAGGCGCGAAAGCGUGGGGAGCAAACAGGAUUAGAUACCCUGGUAGUCCACGCCGUAAACGAUGAGGACUGGGUGUUGCGGGUAUUGACCCCUGCAGUGCCGUAGCUAACGCAUUAAGUUCUCCGCCUGGGGACUACG